GGAGAAGUCGCCUAGUCCGGUCGAGGGCGCACGAUUGGAAAUCGUGUGAGCAUAACUGCUCCGAGAGUUCGAAUCUCUCCUUCUCCGCCA
Molecule: transfer RNA, 90 nt
Filed under: Firmicutes bacterium ADurb.Bin300
Lineage: Bacteria; Bacillati; Bacillota
Also listed under: 1 other name
Description: tRNA-Ser
Rfam family: tRNA
About the family: Transfer RNA (tRNA) molecules are approximately 80 nucleotides in length. Their secondary structure includes four short double-helical elements and three loops (D, anti-codon, and T loops).
Source: RNAcentral